This 253-nucleotide ribosomal RNA is filed under the name uncultured bacterium. Its description in RNAcentral is "partial 16S ribosomal RNA". It matches the Rfam family "Bacterial small subunit ribosomal RNA", at positions 524 to 776 of the family's 1533-position model. The record is from RNAcentral.
UACGUAGGGUGCGAGCGUUGUCCGGAAUUAUUGGGCGUAAAGGGCUCGUAGGCGGUUUGUCGCGUCGGGAGUGAAAUCCACUGGCUUAACUGGUGGCUUGCUUUCGAUACGGGCAGACUGGAGGUAUGCAGGGGAGAACGGAAUUCCUGGUGUAGCGGUGGAAUGCGCAGAUAUCAGGAGGAACACCAAUGGCGAAGGCAGAUCUCUGGGCCGUAACUGACGCUGAGGAGCGAAAGCAUGGGGAGCGAACAGG